UCACCGAUCCCGGCUUGAAGCAAGAUGGUAGAGUCCCAGAUAAACUGUUCAUGGAAAGGUCCAAAAAUUGAAGUUUGAGAUUGAGACUACAAAUUGCCCUUGGUAUUAAACCUUCAAGUUGAUUAUCUGCCAUGGCAACUUGUUCCAAAUUCGAAGCAGAUCCCCUCCAUUGUGGCAACCUACCAAAGAGUUGGUUCCUGCUCACAUCCAAUGCUGCCAGCUCUGACAUAUUCCAAAUCCAACUUGGGACUUCACCAUAGAUAGAGUUAUUGCUAAGAUCUAGUAUAUACAAGUAAGAGCAGUUAGCUAAGACAUUUGGGAUCAUCCCAGUGAAGUUAUUUCCAUUUAAUUCGAGCUCCAACAAGCUCGUUAGAUUAAAAUUUCCUGAGAAAAUUGAUCCUUGUAAUUUGUUAUUUGAUAAUCCAAGGAAUUGUAAUGAAGAGCAGCCCAUAGCCAUGUGCUCAGGUAUCUCUCCAGAUAAUUGGUUGUUUGAUAAGUCCAAAAUUUGUAAGGAACUCGUAUCACCAAAUGAAGAGGGAAUGCUGCCAUUGAAAUAAUUCUUUGACAUGUUCAAAUAAACCAAAAAUGGUAGGUGUGCUCCAAUUCUUGCUGGGAUGUUGCCACCGAAGGCAUUGUUGGAGAUAUUCAAAUAUGAUAAAGUAGAAUGCACACGCGAUGUCACUUGAAAAGGCCCUGAUAGAGAGCAAUUCACGAGAUUCAGGGUCACUAGCAUCGUGUUGUUUUCCAACAACCAAAAUGGAAAUCGAUCCACCUUGAAAUAUAUGUUUGAGAGGUCGACAUGCUGCAACUCACUUUGAUGGUACAAGAAUUUUGGAAAUGACCCAACACUUCCACAACAAGAUAAGCUGAUGGAACUCAACCGGAACCUUGGAGUCGAAGAAUGCGACAUCUCAUGAUCAUCAGCAUGUAUGGUGUUGUUAUCUGCAUGGAAGUACUUGAGUUUUGAAAGGUUGAAAAAGGGUCUUAAUGAGCUUGGGAUGUGAAAUUUAUUGUUUGAAACAUCCAACAAUUGGAGGGAUGUUAGACUUUCAAGGGCAGAUAUAUUUCCAGAUAACUGAUUAAAAGAGAGGUCCAAAGAUGCAAGCAAUGUUAGGCUCUGAAUGGCAGAUAUAUUUCCAGAAAAUUGAUUAAAAGAGAGGUCCAAAGAUGCAAGCAAUGUUAGGCUCUGAAUGGCAGAUGUAGUUCCAGAGAACUUAUUAGAAGAGAGGUCCAAAGAUUCAAGCAAUGUUAGGCUCUGAAUGGCAAGUAUAUUUCCAGAGAACUGAUUAGAAGAGAGGUCCAAAGAUGCAAGCAAUGUUAGGCUCUGAAUGGCAGAUAUAUUUCCAGAGAACUGAUUAGAAGAGAUGUCCAAAGAUUCAAGCAAUGUUAAGCUCUGAAGGGCAGAUAUAUUUCCGGAAAACUGAUUGUAAGAGAGAGAUAACAUUUUAAGGGAGGUGAGGUUGGAGAAACACAUGGGUAAGCUACCCUUUAGAUUACAGCCAUUGAUACCCAACUCUUGGAGAUUUGUGGAUUCACAGACAUCUGCAAAAGUAGUAGUAUAUAUGUAUAUAUUUAAGGAGUUUACAAAUAGGUACAAAUCUAAAUAAUAAAUAAAAUAUGUUGAAUUAAUUAGAAUAAUAAUCAAUUCAAUAUAAAAUAUUCAAGAGUGAAAAUUAGAAAAUCUACACGUGAUGGGAUUCGAAUCUAGGCAUUCAAGAUGCUAAGCCUUAAUUCUUUGCCUUUAGUGUGUUUAACCAUUUUUUUUUGGUCCAUAAGGUUUGUAGAAUUUAAAGUUUUAGCCUUUCUAGUUGUGAAAUUAUAAAUUUAAAGACUAAUUGGUGUAUUGUUAAUAAAUUUCUAUUAAAUUUGAAUAUAUGCAUUUUAAUAUUAAAAAAUAGUAGUUAAAUUUUUUUAUUUAUAUAUAAAAUCAAAAUUAUAUAGUGGAUUUGAAUAUCCUUCCUUUAUGGCUUUAUGUGAAUAAGUAAAGCAAAUUCACAUGUAUCUAUCCACGUCCAUUUUGAAUCUGAAUAUUAUCUGAAUUUAUAGCAUUCGAAUAUAAAAGAAGCAUAUCAAAUUUAUAGAUAUAUGAAUCUAUAAUCCGAAUUACCACAUCUAAGAAAAAUUAUAUUUCAAAAUUCAAAAAGCAGCAUAUUUAUAUAUAUUAAAUCUAGAAAUAUAUAAAACUAAAAUGAUGAGUAACUGAAAAUAGAAUAUCUACCAUGCAUAGGUGGACUGUUGUUACCAUCAAUAUCAGAGGCGGUCAAUUUUUUAAGAGAAAUGAGUGGUCCAAAAACUUGAAUAAAGUUUGAAGGUAAAGAUGAAUAAGACAACUCCAACUCUUCCAAACUUCUCAAAUUUAGGCCUUCUGUUCAAUAACAUUAACUGCAAGUUAUAUUUUUUAAAAAAAAUAUGGGAAACAAUGUAUAUUUAUAAAACUAUGAAGAAAAUAAGGAUUUGAAAUUAUGAGUUUCGUUCUGUUCUUUUAUUUUACAUAAAUUGAGAUGUUAGCUUUUUCUGUUUUAAUUUGUCAAAAUUUGGUUAACUGAAUUUUGUAAAUUAAGAAGCUAGUCUAGUUAUUGGUAAUAAUAUAUAUUCUCAUCUUUACAUCCUUUUAUAAUUGUUUUUUGAAAAUAGAUCCUGCAGAAUGCAUUAGUUUGACGGAAAAUUACAACGUUGAAAAAACAAUUUCCUAAAAAAACUUAAACGGCACCUUAGCAUCCUUUCAUAAAUUAAAACUACUAAAUUAAUUAAUGAAGAUUUUUUCUUAAAUCUAGAAAAUGGAUUUAAAACAAAAAUUUGACCUUACCAGUGUAUAUUAUCAAGUAUAUAUUGUUAAGGACAAUUUGAAAUAAAAAAUGACUUAAAAUCAAAUAAAUAUUAUCAUAAGAGGGAAAUUGAAAGAAUGAAAUUACCUUGUCGAGUGAGGUUUUUGUUGACGUUACAGUACAACAACUUUAAACGCUUCAAUGAAGUAAAGUCUGCUGUAACAGAGGCUUUCAAUAUCAAAUAUGUGUCAGAGAGAGAAAGGCAAAUAUAUUAGAGAAAUAUCCCAACAAAAUAUAUACCAUCAAAUUAUGUCUUGUACUCUUUGCACAUUUAAAAAUUAGUCUCUCUACUCUUAAUCUCGAAAAUUUAAUCUCUCUCUUCAUUUGAUUUAAUAAUUGAAAUCCAACUGAUAACAUCAUCAAAGGAUUUUCGUUAAAUUGGAUUACAUGACUUUUUUAAUAUGAAAUAUUUACUCACGUGGCUAAUUGCAUUUUGCAGAUUAUAACAUUGUUUGCAAAUGCUUAAAAUGUGUAAUAAUUUGAUCGAACAAAAAAAAAAUUUACAUGAGUGGAAGGCCAAAUAAACAAAAAUAAAUGUUGAAUCUAGUAUCGUAGAUUUUCGAUUUCGAAUAUAGAAUUGUAAGGUUCUUAGCUUUGUUUCAAAGAAAGGAGAGUGAAUACCGGUAUUUUUUAUUUUUCUGACAUAAUGUGCCCUUAAAUUGGCAAUAUGAGCAAAAUUUUCUGCUUUAAAAAUAUCACUCAAUCCAAAUUAAUAGAAUAGAAAAUAGAGUAAUUAAAUUUAAAAAAUGCGAAGAGUAUAAGGACUGCAUGCAUAAUUAGACCUACACGUAUAAAUUAAUUGUUUGUAAGAAAACAUCAAAACUUACUAUUGCGGGAAUAAGAAGCCAUUGUGGUUUCAUUAAUAUUAAAUCCAUCCAAAGAAAGAGUGUUCAAAGUGGGGAAGAAGCCCAAUGAUUGUAAUGAGAAGCUACAACCUGCAUCUGCAUCUGCCUCUGUAUAUGCAUCUGCAUGUCAAACAAUGCUUUAUUUCAUUAGAAUAUGUGUAAUUAGCAAGUCAGGGCAAAUAAAACAAAUCUUUAUUUCUGUUUCCUCUUCUUCAUAUCUAUCCCCAAAGUAGAGUUUAACAUUACAUGAUUUCUUUUCUUCUUCUUUUUUCUCUCAAAUUUUUAAUUUUUGCAUUACCUAUAUAGCUGGCCAUAGUCAGCUCUUCCAAUUUGCCCAAACCAUAUAAAUCUGAGGAGAAUCAGAAAUUGAAAAAUAGUUUAGUUCAAAUAAAGCUUAUGAAUUUAUAUUACUCAUUCAAUACUUCUUUUUUCUUCCUAAAAAGAAGAGGAUGGGGAGAAGGGUGAUUUUUACCUUUCAUAUCUAUUAAUCCAUUGCAUUGAGAGAUACCUAUGCUCAAAGUCUUUAGAUUCGGAAGUGUAGCAAGAGAUGCCAAUAUACUAUUGUUGAAACCAUUAUUACUCAAAUCAAGAUGUUUCAAAUUCAUCAGCCUUAGUCCUGCACCAUUAUCAAGUAACAACAUUUUUAGUUAUUUUAUUCCAUAUGAUAUUUAAUUUUUAAAAUUUUGACACGUGCCUCUUUUUUUAAUAUUUUAUUAUAUCUCUAUAGAACACUUGUUAACCCAAUGACUUUACUUAUGGAGUCUAAAAUCCCUAAGUUUAUAAUAAAUUUAACAAUACCAAAAUUUUAAAAAAAAUAGAUUUAAUGUUAAAUUGAGAAUUUUAAAAAAUCAUAAAUACCUUGAGAUGGAAUAAAUCCAUUCACUUCAUUAUAGUCUAAGAUCAACUCCUCUAAAUUGCUGAGAGCAUUUAAAUCUGAAGAUAACGUUAGAAAGGAAACUAAAAAUAAGUUUAUUUUGUUUAGCAUGUGAAAACUAAUAGCAUAUUAAUUUAAAUAUUUAAAGCAUUCAUAAUGGGAACUAUUCAUUUAGUCUACUAUAUUAUUUGUGUUAGAUUUUGAACAAAGUUAUUUUCAAUUCCCACUUAAUCUCUUUUAUUAUGUUAAUAAUAUAUUAUUCUUUUGUAAAUGUGAAAGCGAGGUUUUCGAUUAAGUUUUGGCCUAACUUGAAUGGGUUUAUUCAGUUCAACUUAUGAAAUAUCUAUUGUCAAUGGUAAAUAUUUGGUUAAGUGUUCAAAUAGAGAUGAAACCUUUUAUGAGUUGCAUAUGAAUCAAAACUUUAAAAGUAGUUAAGUAAAAGUUAAGUCUGCGUCAUACAAUAGAGAAACCUUACACAAUGACCAAAUAAGAGUUGAACCUUUUCAAUUGUGCUCAAAUAAGGAUUUUUCAAAUACCAUAUAAUAUAUUUGAAUUUUUUUUCUUUUCAAAUAAUAUCUUAUUAAACCAUGUGUGUUUUAUUCUAAACACGUUAGCAUUCAUCUAAUAAUUUUUACUUUCAAAAGGGCAUGAUUUUUUUACCGUUUUGAAAGGUAAUUAGGUGCUUGCAUAUAAAUAUUAACAAUUUAUUUAAUAUAUGUCUAAUUAAUUGGAAAAUGGAUGAAAAGCAUUUAAUUGUGAAAGGAAAAUUACAAAUAAAACUAAUAACAAAUCAUAUAAAAUCAAAAGAUAUCAUAUUCUUACCUUUUGUAUAUAUUGCCCCCUCCAAUUGGUUACCAGAUAAAUCCAAUGACUUUAAAUUCGAGAGCUCAACAAGGGAUGAGAAUACACUAUUGUUAAAGAGAUUACCAUUUAAACUAAGUACCUCAAGUUUGUUGAACUUCAUUCCUUCUUUUUCUAAAAAGAAAAAAAAAGUUAAUGUAAUUUCAUCUUAAAAAAGAUAAUAUGUUGGAACAACGAUUAAUAAAGCCAAGUGAUUUACCAUGGAAUAGUGACCCAAGGCUCUUAAUUUCAUUUCCCCCUAAAUAUAGCUCCUUCAAGUUCAUCCAAUUAUUAUUGCUUUCUGUUCAUAUCCAAUGAAAAUAUAUGUAAGUUAGUCAAGUUAUUUAAAAAGGGAUAUAUAACAUUUAGUCCCUGAAUUUUGUAAUUUUCUCCAACUUGGUCCUUGAACUGUUUUUUGUCCACAUUAGUCUUGGAAUUUAACAUCUUUCCAUAGCUUUGGUCCAUGAGAUGAUGCUGCACUAUGAGAUUGUGUCAUGUCAUCACCUAAAUUCUUGAAAAAUUGCUAAAUUCCAGGACUAAUGUCUACCAAAAAAGUUUAUAGACUAAGUUAGAAAAAAUUACUAAAUUCAAGGACUAAAUGUAGCUUUACCCUUAUAAAAACAACUAACUAAUAAGCUUUCUAUUUUUUUUAAUCAAAUUAAGCAUGAUAUUCAAAAAGGAAACAUGCCUUGUAUAUCAAGGGUUCUUUUUAGUUCGCAAUACUCCAAACGCAAUGAUUUUAAAGAGGCAAAACCAUCUAGUUGUGAUAGGAUGUUAUUUGCUAAACGGUUGAAAGAUAAAUCCAAAGUUUCCAAAUUGUUCAACUUUGAUAACAUCUCAAUACCUGCCAACAAUAAUAUUAAAAAAAGGGACAAAACUACUUUAAACUUGGAUCAGCUCUGCAUCAUAUAUAAUUAAAUAUUAACUUUACCAUUGGUAGGAUUUGAUCUUGUGAAUACAUUUCCAGCUAGAUUUAAAGACUUAAGCGAGGAAAGUUCACUUAAGGAUGCUAAAAUGCUAUUGUUGAAAUGAUUGUUACUCAAGUCAAGAUUCUCCAACUUGUCCAAUUUCGAUGACAGCCUUUCGAAACCUACAAGGAAUAAGGAAAUAUAGUAAAUUAGCAAUAUCGGGGGACAGGGUCUUGGCUCCAAAAAAUAUGGUAAAUUUUCAGUUUAGUCCUUACCAAAACUGUAAAUUGAUGCAAUAAUAAAAUUUCAUUUCAACGAUGAACAAGUAGUUGAAAUGAUUUUUUUGACAUACAAAAUAAUAAAAAGAAAUAAAUGUUCGUAAUAAAGUUGAAAGGUAAUAAACCUUGAUUGGCAACACAGCCGGUUAUGAAAUUCCCCCUUAAAAAAAUACUCUGUAAUUUCUCAAAAGGAAGAAACAAAGAGGCAUUAAGAUACCAAUCUAUCUCCAUGUUACUGGAAUAAUUAAGGAAAAGAUGGGUGACUCGUCUAGUUAUUGGGUUGCAUUCAACCCUUUCCCACUCACAACAAUUUGAUGAACUCUCUUUUUCAUAUACGAAGUCAUCAUUGAUUAGAUCUUGAAACUUAUAAUCAAUGAACUCAAAGAAAGGUUUGAGUUGGAAGAGAGCAAAUCUUUCUUCCUCUAAGCAACCAUCACACAGCCCAGAACCUAACGAUAACACUACAAGAACCAUGGCUAACCAUUUCGACUCCAUCUCACCACUUUAUGCUUUUGUAGCCAAUGCAGCAACCCCUUUAUAUGCUAAAAGAAAAAGGAAGAAGGCUUCAUGCUUCCAAGAAAUUCAUUCACAAUCGCUUAAAUUGUUUACUUUGUUUUUCAACUUUAUCAUUGAUAUUUUCAUGGAACCCUCUCAUUUCUCUCUUUUUUCCACAUUAAAGAUACACAUGUUAAUGCAUAUGGCUAAUAAGGUGUACAGUCAGUCAAUCCCGUGUGGACCACUAUCUUUUCUUUGCUUUCUUUUCGUACACAGCACAGACUCCUCCAAAUUCAGGUGCCAUUGUUUCUCGUCUUUCAUCAUCCUAAAUGCAUUUGCUUUGCUGAUUUAUUGUGAUAAAAUAAGUUUUAUUAUCAGGAGAAAACCAUUAAAAAAUUAAUGUAUUAUUAAAAAGAUUAAAUAAGACCAAAUAGGAAUUAUAGUUAACAAUCAUUGUUUAAUACAAACAUAAUAAUUAUUUUUUCAUUUAGAAUUCAACACCAAACAAAAUAAUAUACCUUUGUUAAAACAAUGAAUGAUGUUUUUAAAUAGUAAAUGUUAACUUUGUUUAAAUUUGGCUUUAUAUAAUUUUUCAAUAAUAUAGCGACUAAAUUAAUCCAUUUAAUAGUAGAAGGAUGAAUUUGAUUUGAUCGCUAUAACAGACAGAGGGACCUACCAAGUACAUUCAUCCUUUUCUAUAUAUAUGAUUUGAUUAUAGUAGAUGUCCCAAAACUAUGAUCCAUGUUUUAAAUUAGACUUCAAAUUUCAAGAUACUCUAAUUAAGUCAAUAGAUUAUCAAUAUUUCCAUCAAUCUGGGCAUCAUAAAGGGAAGUAAAUACUAACUUAGAUAUGAGAUGGAUCAUAUUUAAAAUAUAUGAAUCAAAUUUUAAUGACAACUUUGAUAUAACAUGUUAAAAAGAAAAAAAAGAAGAGCUCUCUUAAAUUUUAAUGACAUUAUUUUAUAUUGAAGACCUUAUUCAUACAACAUUCAACAUAAUUGUUAAAUAUAUACACAAUGAAAUAUACUAAUAUUCAACAUUCAAAUUGCAUAUAUAUUCAAAAGCAAAUAUUGAAAAUUUCUUAAUAGAUGACGAUACACGUACCCUUUUCCUUGGUAGUGUAGUUAUAAUACAAGAAGCAUAGUCAACCAUUUUGACUCCAUCUUAGCACUUUAUGCCCUCAUGCUUCCAAGAUACUCAUUCCGUAAGGGGGUAUUAGAAUGAGGAAUUUUAUUUUUUAUCAAAGUUUUUAAAAAUUUAAAAGGGAAUUUACUUGUUUAGAUAAAAAAUUUAAAAUUUAUAACUAAUUUCAAGAAAGGAUUUUAAUAGCUCAAAUUUCCUUUUCAAAUUUCAUCUAAAGAAGUGGUUUUUCAAAAUAUAUUAUAAUUUUAUUUCAUUUAAUAAACAUGGUUCCAGUAUAUGAUAAAUACUACAACUUCAAAAAAUUAAUACAUUUUUAACAAUUUUAUUUUAUUAAAAAUAUUUAUAAAUUUUACAAAUAGUUUUAUAUUAAUAAUGAAUAUUAUUUAUUUUUAGUGUAAUUAUUCUUUAAUUCAUAAAAAAAAUCCAAUAACUCAUUUUUGUUAAAACAAUUAUUCAUGUUAUCAAUAAUUCUUUAAUUCGUAAAAAUCCUCAAUUAAAUUUAGUAAUAACACAGUCUAUUUUUUAUUAUGCAAAGAAUAAUUAGAUUUCUAAAUGUUAUCCGACGUGAGUACCUGGACCUACAGGCACAAUCACCCAGGGAAGGAUGUAAGGUGAUGACUGAUGCAGAUAUUUCUCGGGUAAAGAUGUUUUUGAAACUUAAUUAAAUGCUUUUCAUUUUCAAGUAAACAGUUUCCAUGCUAAUUUCAUCAGAUGAUUAAGUUGUUCUCUGGAGAAGAGUGGUACAAUCAACAAGCAUCAAGAGCUGUAAAUCAGUCAGUCGGACGAGUUAUCCGUCACCGUCAUGAUUAUGGAGCAAUUAUCUUUUGUGAUGAAAGGUAUUUGCUUUCUAUUGCCUUUCCUUGUGAUCUUUCAUCUGAGUAUUCUCCAAGUAGUAAAUGCUUGAAACUGUUAUAUUAACAGUUUCUGUUCGAUGUGUUCCCUUCAACUCUCUUUCGGAGACAUAUUAUAUCUAGUAUUGCUUUUCUCUUCCCCUACUGAGGGGUUAAAACUGUUACUCUGGUGCUUAUUAAUACAUUGAUUUAACUGAUUAAAAGCCCCAGUUGUUAAAUUUAGCAUUUAGUGGUAAACUUGGAUGUACUACCUUAGUUUACAUUAUCAUCUGGACCUGACCAAGCAUGAAGCGAAAAGUUUUCUCAGUUUGGAAGAAUAAGACCUAAGCUGUAAACUUGGGAAGUUGAAGGCUCACAAGCGAUUAAUUAAUCAAGAUUUUUUCUUAAAUCUAGAAAAUGGAUUUAAAACAAAAAUUUGACCUUACCAGUGUAUAUUAUCAAGUAUAUAUUGUUAAGGACAAUUUGAAAUAAAAAAUGACUUAAAAUCAAAUAAAUAUUAUCAUAAGAGGGAAAUUGAAAGAAUGAAAUUACCUUGUCGAGUGAGGUUUUUGUUGACGUUACAGUACAACAACUUUAAACGCUUCAAAGAAGUAAAGUCUGCUGUAACAGAGGCUUUCAAUAUCAAAUAUGUGUGAGAGAGAGAAAGGCAAAGAUAUUAGUGAAAUAUCCCAACAAAAUUAUGUUUUGUACUCUUUGCACAUUUAUAAAUUAAUCUCUCUACUCUCUACUCUUAAUCUCGGAAAUUUAAUCUCUCUAUUCAUUUGAUUUAAUAAUUGAAAUCCAACUGAUAACAUCAUCAAAGGAUUUUCGUUAAAUUGGAUUACAUGGCUUUUUUAAUAUGAAAUAUUUACUCACAUGGCUAACUGUAUUUUGUAGAUUAUAAUAUUGUUUGCAAAUACUUAAAAUGUGUAAUAAUUUGAUCGAACAAAAAAAAGUUUACAUGAGUGGAAGGCCAAAUAAACAAAAAUAAAUAUUGAAUCUAGUAUCGUAAGAUUUUCGAUUUCGAAUCUAGAAUUGUAAAGUUCUUAGCCUUGUUUCAAAGAAAGGAGAGUGAAUGUGGGUAUUUUUUUUUUUCGGACAUAAUGUGCCCUUAAAUUGGCAAUAUAAGCAAAAUUUUCUGCUUUAAAAAUAUCACACAAUCCAAAUUAAUAGAAUUAAAAAUAGAGUGAUUAAAGUUAAAAAAUGCGAAGAGUAUAAGGACUGCAUGCAUAAUUAGACCUACAUGUAUAAAUUAAAUUUGUAAGAAAACAUCAAAACUUACUAUUGCGGGAAUAAGAAGCCAUUGUGGUUUCAUUAAUAUUAAAUCCUAGCAAAGAAAGAGACUUCAAAGUGGGGAAUAAGCCCAAUGAUUGUAAUGAGAAGCUACAACCAUCUGCAUGUCAAACAAUGCUUUAUUUCUUUAGAAUAUGAGUAAUUAACAAGUUAGGGCAAAUAAUUUAUACAUUUGCUUCAAAUGUCUAAUUACCUGUAGUGCAGGCCAUAUACAGCUCCUCCAAAUUACUCAACCCAUAUAAAUCUGAGGAGAUUCAGAAAUUGAAAAAUAGUUUAGUUCAAUUAAAGCUUAUGGAUUUAUAUUACUCAUUCAAUACUUCUUUUUUCUUCCUAAGAAAAAAAAAACAGAAGAUGGAGAGAAGGGUGAUUUUUACCUUUCAUAUCUGUUAACCCAUUAAACAGAUAGACACCUACCGACAAAGUCUUUAGAUUUGAAAGUGUAGCAAGAGAUGACAAUAUACUAUUGUUAAAACCAUUACCACUCAAAUCAAGAUGUUUCAAAUUCAUCAGCCUUAGUCCUGCACCAUUAUCAAGUAACAACAUUUUUAGUUAUUUUAUUCCAUAUAAUAUUUAUUUUUUAAAAUUUUGACACGUGUCUCUUUUUUAAAUAUUUUAUUAUAUCUCUAUAGGACACUUGUCAAUUCAAUAACUUUAUUUAUGGAGUUUAAAAUCUCCACCAGUACUAUACCAAAUAUUAUUUCCUAAGUAAUUUAUAAUAAAUUUAACAAUAACAAAAUUUUUAAAAAAUAGAUUUAAUGUUAAAUUGAAAAUUUUAAAAAAAAAUCAUAAAUACCUUGAGAUGGAAUAAAUCCAUUCACUUCAUUACCGGAUAAGAUCAACUCCUCUAAAUUGCUAAGAGCAUUUAAAUCUGAAUAUAACGUUAGAAAGGAAACUAAAAAUAAGUAUAUUUUGUUUAGCAUGUAAAAACUAAUAGUAUAUUAAUUUAAAUAUUUAAAGCAUUCAUAAUGGAAACUAUUCAUUAAGCCUACUACAUUAUUUGUGUUAGAUUUUGAACAAAGUUAUUUUCAAUUCCCACUUAAUCUCUUUUAUUAUGUUAAUAAUAUAUUAUUCUUUUGUAAAUGUGAAAGCGAGCUUUUCGAUUAAGUUUUGGCCUAACUUGAAUGGGCUUAUUCAGUUCAACUUAUGAAAUUUCUAUUGUCGAUGGUAAAUAUUAGGUUAAGUGUUCAAAUAGAGAUGAAACUUUUUAUGAGUUGUACAUGAACCAAAACUUUAAAAAUAGUUAAGUAAAAGUUAAGUCGGCCUCAUACAAGAGAGAAACCUUACACAAUGACCAAAUAAGAGUUGAGCCUUUUUAAUUGUGCUCAAAUACCAUAUAAUAUAUUUGAAAUUAUGUUUUUCUUUUCUUUUCAAAUAAUAUCUUAUCAAACCGUGUGUGUUUUAUUCUGAACACGUUAACAUUCAUCUAAUUUUUACUUUCAAAAGGACAUGACUUUUUUUUUUUACAGUUUUGAAAGGUCAUUAGGUGCUUGCAUAUAAAUAUGAACAAUUUAUUUAAUAUAUGUCUAAUUAAUUGGAAAAUGGAUGAAAAGCGUUUAAUUGUGAAAGGAAAAUUACAAAUAAAACUAAUAACAAAUCAUAUAAAAUCAAAAGAUAUCAUAUUCUUACCUUUGUAUAUAUUGCCCCCUCCAAUUGGUUAUCAGAUAAAUCCAAUGACUUCAAAUUCGAGAGCUCAAAAAGGGAUGAGAAUACGCUAUUGUUCAAGAGAUUACCAUUUAAACUAAGUACCUCAAGUUUGUUGAACUUCAUUCCUUCUUUUUUUGAAAAAAAAAAGUUAAUGUAAUUUUAUCUUAAAAAAGAUAAUAUGUGGAACAACAAUUAAUAAAGCCAAGUGAUUUACCAUGGAAUAGUGACCCAAGGCUCUCAAUUUCAUUUCCCUCUAAAUACAGCUCCUUCAACUUCAUCCAAUUAUUAUUGCUUUCUGUUCAUAUCCAAUGAAAAUAUAUGUUAGUUAAUCAAGUUAUUUAAAAAGAGAUAAUAUAACAUUUAGUCCCUAAUUUUUGUAAUUUUCUCCAACUUGGUCCUUGAACUGUUUUUUGUCCACAUUAGUCUUGGAAUUUAACAUCUUUCCAUAGCUUUGGCCCAUGAGAUGAUGUGGCACUAUGAGAUUGUGUCACGUCAUCACCUAAAUUCUUGAAAAAUUGCUAAAUUUCAAGACUAAUGUCGACCAAAAAAGUUUAUAGACUAAGUUAGAAAAAAUUACUAAAUUCAAGGACUAAAUGUUACUUUACCCUUAUAAAAACAACUAACUAAUAAGCUUUCUAUUUUUUUCAAUCAAAUUAAGCAUGAUAUUCAAAAGGGAAACAUGCCUUGUAUAUCAAGGGUUCCUUUUAGUCCGCAAUACCCCAAAUCCAAUGAUUUUAAAGAGGCAAAAUCAUCUAGUUGUGAUAGGAUCUUAUUUCCUAAACUGUUGAAAGAUAAAUCCAAAGUUUCCAAAUUGUUCAACUUUGAUAACAUCUCAAUACCUGCCAACAAUAAUAUUAAAAAAAGGGACAAAACUACAUUAAACUUGGAUAAGCUCUGCAUCAUAUAUAAUUAAAUAUUAACUUUACCGUUGGUAGGAUUUGAUCUUGUGAAUACAUUUUCAGCUAGAUUUAAAGACUUAAGCGAGGAAAGUUCACUUAAGGAUGCUAAAAUGUUAUUGUUGAAAUGAUUGUCACUCAAGUCAAGAUUCUCCAACUUGUCCAAUUUCGAAGACAACCUUUCAAAACCUACAAGGAAUAAGGAAAUAUAGUAAAUUAGCAAUGUCGGGGGACAGGGUCUUGGCUCCAAAAAAUAUGGUAAAUUUUCAGUUUAGUCCUUACAAAAACUGUAAAUUGAUGCAAUAAUAAAAUUUCAUUUCAACGGUGAACAAGUAGUUGAAAUGAUUUUUUUGACAUACAAAAUAAUAAAAAGAAAUAAAUGUUCGGAAUAAAGUUGAAAGGUAAUAAACAUUGAUUGGCAACACAGCCUGUUAUAAAAUUUCCCCUUAAAGAAAGAUUCUGUAAUUUCUCAAAAGGAAGAAACAAAGAGGCAUUAAGAUACCAAUCUAUCUUCAUGUUGCUGGAAUAAUUAAGGAAAAGAUGGGUGACUCGUCCAGUUAUUGAGUUGCAUUCAACCCUUUCCCACUCACAACAAUUUGAUGAACUCUCUUUUUCAUAUACGAAGUCAUCAUUGAUUAGAUCUUGAAACUUAUAAUCAAUGAACUCAAAGAAAGGUUUGAGUUGGAAGAGAGCAAAUCUUUCUUCCUCUAAGCAACCAUCACACAGCCCAGAACCUAACGAUAACACUACAAGAACCAUGGCUAACCAUUUCGACUCCAUCUCAGCAGUAGUUUAUGCAUUUGUAGCCAAUGCUGCAACCCCUUGUGCUUUAUAUGCUACAACUGAAAGGAAGAACCCCCUCAUGCUUCCAAGAAAUUCAUUCAUAAGGGUCCACUUAUCACUUAAAUGGUAUACUUUUUUGUUUUUCAACUUUAUUAUUAAUUAUUUUUCAUGGAAACCUCUUAUUUCUCUCCUCUAUUAAUUUGGAUGUGAUACAAUAUUGAUAAACUAGUAUCAAAUAUCCUCUACAUACCUCGGGGUUUAAAUAUGUUCUUAUCAAAUUUGAAUUGAUAAUUAAUGCUCAACUUUAAGAUAAUAGAAAGACUUUAUUGAUACAGUACUCAACAUAAUUAUAAAAUAUAUAAAUAAAUUUUUUAAAAUGAUUUAUGUUGGAUAUUAUUUAUGAUGCCUGUUUAUUGUAACUUCCUUAUGAAGGUGGAAAAUGUAGAUAUUUGUUUCGAUAGUUUGAGUUAUUAUUGAGAAGACCUUGACUUAGAUGAUAGCAUAGUAAGGACAUGUUGUUUGAUUGUGAAAUUGUAAUCUAUUUCGAAUUCAAAUAUUAUUUGAAUAUAAGAAAAGCAGAUCAAAUUUAUAGAUAUCAUCUGAAUCCAUAAUCUAAAGUACCACAUCUAAGGAAACUAAAUUUAAAAAUUCAAAAAACUUUUUUCAACAAUUAAUCUAUACUAUAAUUUUACUAUAGUUGUUGUACUUCGUGGGUUUGUAGGUCUUAGUUCAAUAGUUAUUUGUGAACUGCUGGAAAUUGUGGAAAGCUGUAGGCGACUUAAGGUAUUCCAAAGGCAAUUCAACAUUUCAUCAUUGCAGUAAUUUUCACAUACGUUGAAAUCAAGAAACUCAUUUAAAUUCCCAACAUUCCCAGUUGCAAUGGGGCUUUAACUUAUUUGCAUAUUUGAUGUUGACUUCAUUAAAUAUUGAACAUUGAUCCCAUUCCACAUAUAAGAAAAUGAUAUAAGAGAAGAGGGAAACUUCCAAGUCAAGCUUUGUUUAUAUUACAAACGUAUAAACCAAGUUUAAAACAACUAAAUAUAUUAAUAUUUAUGAUGGUAACUUUCCUAUGAAUUUUUGUUUGAAGGUGAAAAUAUGAACUUUUGUUCCAAUAGGUAGAAUUAUUAUUGAAGUGAUGGCCACGAAUUGGAUCUAUUACUAAAUAAAUUUCCAUAAAUAAAUCUUUAUACCCUUACUAUAUUAAUUAUCUAUGUAUUUUUCAUUUACUUUAUUUAUAAGAUUAAAUAUAUUUGGCUUCUUUCAAUAAAAAUCAUGUUUAACUUUGAAUCCCAUGUGAUGGCCUGAUGGCUAGGGGUGUGCACUGCCUCAAGUGUGGCCUGAGUUUGAAUCAUAUUAAUCGUGUUGAUUGUUUUGGCUUUACCUUAUUAUUGUAAUUCAGCAAAAAAUUAAUAUUUAACUACAAAAUAUUUUAAAAUUAUAUUUAAGUUAGUUAUAUAUUGAUGUUGACGUGAAUUUAUUAAAUUAUUUUAUAUAAAAUUAAUUAGUUACCAUUAUUAAAAAGAUUAUAAUUGAAAAAAUUGAUUAAAAUAUAAAUUUGAAAAAAAUUAUUAAGCCCCUAGUGCUUCCAAGAAACUCAUUCCACAAAGGGUCCAUUCAUCCCUUAAAUGGAUUACCUUUUUUCCCCCAACUUGAUUAUUGAUAAUUUCCAUGGAAAAGCCUCUUUUCCAAGUCUUCCAUUAAUUUGGAUGUGAUAGAAUACUAACAUUUACAUGACUGGUAAUCACCCACCGCUUACGCCGGGGUUUAAUGAAACAAUUUUUAUUAUUUAUUUAAUAUUAAAUUUUGUUUAAAAUUUAUUAAAUAACAAUUAAUUAAUUAAAACUGAUUAAAUAUUAAUUAAUUAUUUAAACUCUUUUUUUUUUAUCAAAUAUGCUAUGUUUUUGUUCAUUAUAAAAUUUGAAUUUAUGAAAAUAUAUGAGAACCUUAUUUAUUCGCAAGUUAUUUUAUGUAUAAUUCAUUUUAAAUUAAUUUUAAAAGUGAAUAUUCAAAUCAACCCUUGUGUCGGUAAAUAAUGUUGAGUAUGAGUUGGGUGAUUUACCCAGGCCAAGCAAGAUUUAUUGACCUCAAAUCAAUAUGAAAUCAAAUUAAAUAAUAAAAUAUUUAAUUUAAUUAUAAAAAUAUUAAUAUUCUAUAAAAAUAAUAUGUGAAGCAUAAAAUCAGAUUAUGAAAUUAGGUGAAGCUGGCCCAACUUCACGACUAGACAUGCAAACUUUGUGCAUUCUACGCUACAAGAACUAGGAAGAACCCCUCAUGCUUAAAUGGUUUACUUUUUGUGCUUUAUAUAGUAUUAGUCAAAUAAAAUGGGAACAAACGUUGAAGAAUGAGAAAAAUGGGCGACUCCAGAGUCCAGAGGCAUGGGCAUCAAAUCAUGCUGCUUGAAUGGCAGAAUAGAAAUGGGAGCAACAAAUGUUUGGGUUUUAUUUAUUAAGGUUUUGAACUUUGAGUUUGAUCAUGCUUGGGUUUGACUAAACAACUAUAUGACUAUAUGACUAAACAACUCGAGCCUUCUCAGAAAUAUUCCUCAUGUUUCACUCCGUCUAUGGAUUUGAAUAAGUUGAAGCGAUCUAAUGAUCGAAGAAAAAUGCAAUCUCAAAAUCAUGACGUUAUAAGUUCAGAAACUUAUGUUUGGAGAGUCUAGAGAAAUUAAAUUGAAACGACUUGUAUGACAUACAUUAGUUCCCUCUUUAAUUGUUGGAACUAUCUUCCCUGUAAUGAGUUCUGUUAAUUUGUCUUUUGCUGCUUUCUCUUGAAUGCAGGCUAACUCUUUUGGAUUUUCACUUUCCUAGCUCGUAGCAUUAACUGAUUCGGAUUAGGGAUUUUUAUGAAACCUUCUCUGCCUUCAGGUCAAACAGAAACUUAGUCCUGCAGCAUACAAAGAUUUUGUGGGUUAUAGGAAGGAAAUAGUCCAAAGUGGUAAAAGAUUGGUAAUCCUCUGCAAUGCAUUGGGGAGUUAUUUUCAGGACCUGAGAGGCUUCCUCUUCUUGAAAGGUAUGCAUCUACUCCAAAAUUGUAUUAAAAUUGAAGACUGUGAGCAGUUACGUUACAUUGUCAGUAAGGCAUUGUGAAAAAUAAUUUAGUUGGCUUAACCAUGUAUACAUUGAGCAGACACUUUCUGAUACUCAUCCAGUUAAUGGCAUAUUGUGCGGUUUUAGGUUUCAUUGGAAGCUUGGCAAAAUUAAUUUCCUAUUCUCAGCAUGAGUUAAUGAUUUAUAAAGCUAAGCCCAACAUUGUCUGAAAUCAUCAAAUAUGUUAGAGCCUUAAAGGCUGCAAGUGCCAUCAGAGGUCUUAUCUGCAACACUAGCAAAGAAACAAAUUGCUCGUUUACACCAUACCUAAACUACUGUCUACUGAUAUUCUUUAGCCUGUCAUUCAUUUCCAUCCCCCUUGUUAGCUUGCAACUACUAUCGAUUACUUUUACUGGAUCUUACCCUCUGUUGUCAUCUGUUACAGAUUCAAGGAUUACGUGCCUGCCAGAUAUCGUUCUUUGUAUGAGGAGUACCUCGAAAGAAGUAAAAGAAAUGCCUGAAAAUCAGAGGAACUAAACUUAUCUGGUCGAAACAGUAAUUAGACGAUGCCAUUUGCCAAUGUGAUCGAUUAGAAGUGAAACUUUGAGACUUUAGCAGCAUGAUACUUUCUAGAUCAACAAUCUUUGAAGAAACAUACAAACAUUAUGGAAGGUUUGAAUGUAGUAAACUGCAACUUUGCACAGCGAUUGGAAGCUUUUGGAUGCAUAAACGAGCAACCAAGUUGCUCAUUUGUGUGUGGAGUAAAGAAACUUAUUCAACAUGAAGGUGGUGUUACACAUAGCAAGCAAUCUUUUCAUAAUUAUUUGUUGCUACUACUGAAAUUAUGAAGGACUAGACCUGGUGACAACUUACAUUUUGUACAAAUUGGUAUCAAACCAACUGAAAUAGAGUGAAACUAAGAAUGUGGCUCGUGGGAGUUUUUGUUCAGUUCCAGAAAAGCACUUUAAAUCCAUGUCUUUACACAGUUAUUCCAUAUAAACAUGGCUUUGCAAUCGACAAUUUUAUACCCUUGUAAACUCUUUUAUCGGAAAUCGCCAUUGCUUUGCUACAUGUUUCCAGUACAAAAAUUUCUGGGGAAAUUAUCUACCACAAAAUAGUAGCAGGAAUCAGCGGCCAUUUGAAUAUAGUAAAACCAUGCUUGCCUCCAAUAAGGAUUUAUGUACAGCACAGCUGCGAUGCACAAUAGAACCAUCAUGUAACAUGCAAAGAAGCUUGCAUAGAAGGCAUCCACAUCAAUGAAACCAUGGUCUUCUUUGAUGCCAGAUGAAGCCUUCCGUGUCAAUGGUGUUGUGACCGGUGAACAAUUUUUUCCCACCAAUGAGCCACGAAGAAAAGGAUUCCCGACGUAGUUGCUUUCAUCAAAUGCUCCCAACUGUCCAAUCCUUUCAGGUGUCUUUCCAGAUAAAUUGUUGUAUGACACAUUGAAGUAUUCCAGGAAAUGUAACACCGCAAAUUCGGCAGGGAUAUUCCCUGUCAAAUUGUUGUAGGAAAGAUCUAGACUUUCCAUGUCCUUGAGGUUAGAAAAUGCUCGUGGCACUGGUCCGGUCAAGCUAUUGUGAGAAAGGUUCAAUGUGAAGAGUUUCAUAAUGUUUUUUGUCUCAAAACUAAUUUCACCGGUAAGCUUGUUGCAGGAGAGAUCAAUUCCAGACUGUUAAAGUUAGUUCCCAUGCAACCAGCUUCCCAUGCAAAGGUGGCCAUGCAGAAGAAUACGUUGCAGGCAUUCGAGCCUUGGUCUGCAGGAACUGAAGCCUUAAGCUUAAUGUUGCCGAUCCACUUGGUGUUUAUGGUUGCUUUUUGAUUAUUUUGUAAUUUAGUUCAUGUUGAACUAAGUAGGUAAAUGUUUUGGUAUUGAUUGAUUGAAAAAUCAGCAAUGCAAGUGGUACAAGCUAAUCUUGUAAGUUUCAAUGCAAAUUAGUGGUGUUAGGUAAUUGAUUAGGUGAUUACUUGUUUGUUUUACUUGUUGACUAUUAUAUGUAAUGGCUUAAUGCCUUGUUGGAGUGUUAAUGAAAAUAUCAGCUUACUUUCAUUCAAUUUUUCUCUCUUCUUCUUGUUCUUCACUAGCUAGUUUCAUUUUCUGCUUUGUUUCUGAGUUUGUUUCUUCAGCAAGGCUCGAGGCUUGCUAUCCAAGCAAGACCAAAACAGUCUGCUGCUGCCUCUUUGCACCAAAAAUUGGUAUCUAGAGCCUUUGUCUUAGUGGACCUAUUGCUUCAAAUCAAGGAACCUAAUGGCUUCUUCAGGAUUUUCACCAGCAGCCCCACCAGUCUUCAAUGGGGAAGGCUUCCACAUAUGGCUGGUAAAAAUGAAGACUUACCUGCAGGCUUUUGAUCUGUGGGAAGUUGUCAACACAGAUGCUGAGCCAGCACCACUGAGGGCCAAUCCCACAGUAGCUCAGAUCAGGCAACAUGCCGAUGAAAGGACUAAAAGGCACAAAGCCAUGUCUUGCAUCCAGAACUGUGUGUCAGAUGUCAUCUUCACCAGAAUUAUGGCCUGUGAGACUCCAAAACAGGCAUGGGAUAAGCUUAAGGAGGAGUUUCAAGGUACUGAAAAGACAAGGCAACAGCAGCUGUUGAAUUUAAGAAGGGAUUUCGAGAAUCUGAAGAUGAGGGAAGAAGAAACAGUGAAGCAGUAUGCAGAUAGAAUCAUGGUAGUGGUUAACAGCAUAAGGCUCCUUGGUGAGCACUUUGAUGAGGCAAGAAUAGUGGAGAAAGUCCUCUCCACUUUGCCUGAGAGAUAUGAGGCAAAGAUAUCCUCCUUAGAGGACUCAAGAGACCUUGCUAGCAUCUCUUUGACUGAGCUUAUCAACACCUUUUAUGCUCAGGAACAAAGGAGAGCUAGCAGAGCUGAAGACCACCAGGAAGGUGCAUUUCAAGCCAAGACAAGAGAGGCCUCGAGCACCAAUGCUCCAAGAGGCAAAAAGCUUUGGAAAAGCAGGCCUAAGCCUGAUGCUGCAAGGAGUAAUGAUCAGCCCUGCAGAUAUUGUAAAAGAUCUGGACAUCCAGAAGAUAGAUGCUGGUUUAGGCCAGAUGCAGUAUGUCAACACUGCAAGAAGAAAGGCCAUGUUGAGAGGGUUUGCAAAAACAAAACCAAGCCAAGGCAGAGCCAAUUUCAACAACCAAAUGUUGAAGCUCGAGUAGCUGAGGACAGUAAUGACCUGGAAGAGCAGGUCUUUGCUGUUUCUUGCUUAGCUACUGAGAAGAAAUGCUCAAAAGGGUGGCUACUGGACAGUGGCUGCACCAACCACUUGUCACCAGAUUCAUCUUUGUUCAAAACCUUGGACAGAAGCUGUAAAACUAAGGUUAAGGUUGGAAAUGGUCAGUUUAUAAAAGCUGAAGGAAGAGGAGAAGUGCUGAUAUGUACUCCUACAGGCAACAAAGUCAUUUCAAAUGUCCUGCUGGUACCUGAGAUUGACAGAAAUCUUCUUAGCAUUGCUCAACUGCUUGAGAAAGGCUAUUCUGUUGUGUUUAAGGACAAAUACUGCCACAUAGCUGAUCCAAGUGGAUCAAGCCUUAUGACAGUCACAAUGACUGAUAAAUGCUUUGAGGUCCAUUGGUCAAAUGACUCAAAGUCAGCAUACACAGCCUUUACAGAUGAUUCCAAGCUCUGGCAUCAAAGGCUCGGGCAUGCCAACUUCAGAUCAAUGGCUCAAAUGGCCAAAGAAGGCUUGACAGAGAACUUCACCAGCUCAGUGGAGCAUGAUGAUGUGUGUGAAGUGUGCCAGAUGGGAAAACAAGCAAGACUGUCAUUCCCAACAAACUCAGCAUGGAGAGCCACUGAAAGAUUGCAGCUGGUGCACUCUGAUGUAUGUGGACCUAUGAGGACUGAAUCACUCAGCAAAAACAGGUAUUUCAUCCUCUUCAUUGAUGAUUUUACAAGGUUUUGCUAGAUUUUCUUCUUGAAACACAAGUCUGAGGUAGCUCAAGUGUUUGUGAAGUUUAAAACUGCUGUAGAAACAGAAACAGGCUGCAAAAUAAAAUCGAUAAGGUCAGACAAUGGCACUGAGUACACUUCAGCUCAGUUCCAGGCCAUUUGCAAUGAUGCUGGCAUCAAACACCAGCUUACCAAUGUCUACACACCUCAGCAGAAUGGGGUAUCUGAAAGGAAGAACAGAAGUCUUAUGGAUAUGGCCAGAUGUCUCCUGUUUGAGAAGAAAAUGCCCAAGACCAUGUGGGCUGAGGCAGUAAACACUGCCGUUUAUCUGCAAAAUAGGCUCCUCACCAAGGCCCUUCCACACAAGACACCUUUUGAGGCAUGGUUUGGCUUCAAACCUUCAUUGGCACACCUGAAGGUGUUUGGUUGCCUGUGCUAUGCACAAAUACCAGCAGCAAAGAGGGACAAGCUCUCAAAAAGGGCUCAACCAGGUAUCCUAGUUGGCUAUAGCUCAGACAAAAAGGGCUAUAGGGUUCUGGAUCCCUUAACAUGCAAAGUUCAGGUAAGUAGAGAUGUUGUCUUUAAUGAAAAGGCAUGCUGGAAUUGGGAAAAGAAUGAACCAGAGGCAGUUUCAGAGGACCUGGUGCCUAAUCAUGCUGAAUUCGAGCACCUUGGUCCUGAAAUGGAUGUUGAUGAUGUGCCUGUGAGAGGAACAAGGCCCUUGGAUGAGAUUUAUGAAAGAGCACAGAUUGCUAUAGCAGAACCAACCAGUUUUGAAGAGGCCGAGUCUGAUGAAGGCUGGAAGCAGGCUAUGGUUGAUGAAAUCAACAUGAUACAGAAGAACCAAACAUGGGAGUUGGUCGAUAAGCCUGCUGGAAAGAAGGCCAUUGGAGUGAAGUGGGUCUAUCGAGCUAAACAAAAUGCAGAUGGCAGUCUUAACAAGCUAAAAGCCAGGCUUGUUGUCAAAGGUUUUAGCCAAAGGUAUGGUUUGGACUACUUGGAGACCUUUGCACCAGUAGCCAGACUUGACACUGUCAGAAUGAUAGUUGCUUUGGCUGCUCAAAAUCAGUGGACCAUUCAUCAGCUGGAUGUGAAGUCUGCAUUUCUCAAUGGCUUCCUAGAAGAAGAGAUCUACAUUGAGCAGCCUCAAGGGUUUGUAGUCACUGGUGAAGAACACAUGGUCUACAGGUUAAAAAAGGCCUUGUAUGGCCUGAAACAAGCUCCUCGAGCCUGGUAUGCUCGAAUCGAUUCCUACUUGCUCAGUUUGGAAUUUGAGAGAAGUGCCAGUGAACCAACUUUGUAUGUGAAGAAAAAUCAAGCUGAGACUCAGCUUAUCUUGUCACUCUAUGUUGAUGAUUUGUUAGUAACUGGAGGAGACAAAAAUAUGCUGCAUGAUUUCAAGAAGAAAAUGAUGAAAAUGUUCGAGGUGUCUGAUCUAGGCAGAAUGAAUUACUUUCUAGGAAUGGAAGUAAGACAAAAUACAACUGGAAUCUUUCUCAGCCAGAGUUCUUUUGCUAUGAAGGUCUUAAACAAGUUCUCAAUGAAGAAUUGCAAGCCAACAAGCACACCAAUGGCUGUUGGAAUGAAGCUAUCAAGGUAUGAAACUGGUGAACCAGUUUGUGAGACUAUUUACAAGAGUCUCAUUGGUAGUCUAUUGUAUUUGACUGCAACAAGGCCCGACAUUAUGUUUGCAGUUAGUGUGCUAUCCAGAUACAUGAAUUGCUGCAUAGAUCUGCACUUUCAAGCAGCAAAAAGGGUGCUGAGGUACAUCAAAGGCACCAUCAAUCAUGGUGUAAUGUUCAAAAGGGUUGAAAACAUGAAGUUAGUAGGAUAUGUUGAUAGUGAUUGGGCUGGAUCGAGUGAUGACAUGAGGAGCACAUCUGGAUACUCAUUUAGUCUUGGCUCAGGCAUGUUUUGCUGGAGUUCUAAGAAACAAAGUCUGGUGGCACAAUCAACAGCAGAAGCUGAAUAUGUUGCUGCUGCAUCUGCUGUGAAUCAAGCCAUAUGGCUUAAAAAAAUCUUGGCUGAUUUAAACCAAAACCAAGAAGAAGCAACAGAGAUUUACUGUGACAACAAAUCUGCUGUUGCAAUUGCAAAGAAUCCCAUCUUUCAUGGCAGAACCAAGCACUUCAAUAUCAAAUUACAUGUUAUAAGGGAGAUGGAAAAAGCUCAUGAAAUCGAGCUGGUUCAUUGCAAUUCGGAGGAGCAAAUUGCUGACAUUUUUACCAAGGCACUCAAUGUGCCAAGGUUUAUAAAAUUAAAAGGGAAGCUAGGCGUAACCAACAUAGAAACUAAGGAGGAGUGUUAAAGUUAGUUCCCAUGCAACCAGCUUCCCAUGCAAAGGUGGCCAUGCAGAAGAAUACGUUGCAGGCAUUCGAGCCUUGGUCUGCAGGAACUGAAGCCUUAAGCUUAAUGUUGCCGAUCCACUUGGUGUUUAUGGUUGCUUUUUGAUUAUUUUGUAAUUUAGUUCAUGUUGAACUAAGUAGGUAAAUGUUUUGGUAUUGAUUGAUUGAAAAAUCAGCAAUGCAAGUGGUAUAAGCUAAUCUUGUAAGUUUCAAUGCAAAUUAGUGGUGUUAGGUAAUUGAUUAGGUGAUUACUUGUUUGUUUUACUUGUUGACUAUUAUAUGUAAUGGCUUAAUGCCUUGUUGGAGUGUUAAUGAAAAUAUCAGCUUACUUUCAUUCAAUUUUUCUCUCUUCUUCUUGUUCUUCACUAGCUAGUUUCAUUUUCUGCUUUGUUUCUGAGUUUGUUUCUUCAGCAAGGCUCGAGGCUUGCUAUCCAAGCAAGACCAAACAGUCUGCUGCUGCCUCUUUGCACCAACACAGACAUGUAUUGAAGCAUUCUUCUCUUGUAAUUGUAGGAUCUGCUCUUUACUGUGUAUUCUAUUGAAACUUCAAUGGACGUCGAGCUACUUAUGUUGAAAUUAGAACUUCGAUGCAAAAUAUAUUGCUCUGUUACAUAGUUCAGCGCAGAAACUUUUAAACAAUAAGGAAUACCACCAGAGAGAUUGUUUUGAGAAAGAUCAAUCAAGCUUAAACGAUCCAACUUGCAUAAUUGAAUUGGAAUUUCACCCUCAAAGUGGUUUCUCCUUAAGAGAAGAUAACUUAAUUCAGAAAGAUUGCUAACCCAAUUUGGAAUGUUACCCUUCAAGUGGUUGUAGCUGAGAUCCAAUGUCACCAACCAAGAGCUAUCAUGAAAAGCAUUUGGUAACGCUCCUUGUAGCUUAUUUUUAAAUAAAUGAACUUCCCUCACCAAUACCGGCUUGAAGCAAGAUGGUAGAGUCCCAGAUAAACUGUUCAUGGAAAGGUCCAAAAAUUGAAGUUUGAGAUUGAGACUACAAAUUGCCCUUGGUAUUGAACCUUCAAGUUGAUUAUCUGCCAUGGCAACUUGUUCCAAAUUCGAAGCAGAUCCCCUCCAUUGUGGCAACCUACCAAAGAGUUGGUUCCUGCUCACAUCCAAUGCUGCUAGCUCUGACAUAUUCCAAAUCCAACUUGGGACUUCACCAUAGAUAUAGUUAUUGCUAAGAUCUAGUAUAUACAAGUCAGAGCAGUUAGCUAAGACAUUUGGGAUCAUCCCAGUGAAGUUAUUUCCGUUUAAUUC
Molecule: long non-coding RNA, 24165 nt
Filed under: Gossypium barbadense (sea-island cotton)
Lineage: Eukaryota; Viridiplantae; Streptophyta; Magnoliopsida; Malvales; Malvaceae
Description: long non-coding RNA (GBAR_LNC017451)
Source: RNAcentral